Molecule: ribosomal RNA, 885 nt
Filed under: uncultured bacterium
Lineage: Bacteria
Description: bacterial SSU rRNA
Rfam family: Bacterial small subunit ribosomal RNA
Source: RNAcentral
GUGCCAGCAGCCGCGGUAAUACGUAGGUGGCAAGCGUUGUCCGGAAUUAUUGGGCGUAAAGCGCGCGCAGGCGGUCUUUUAAGUCUGAUGUGAAAGCCCCCGGCUCAACCGGGGAGGGUCAUUGGAAACUGGGAGACUUGAGUACAGAAGAGGAGAGUGGAAUUCCACGUGUAGCGGUGAAAUGCGUAGAUAUGUGGAGGAACACCAGUGGCGAAGGCGACUCUCUGGUCUGUAACUGACGCUGAGGCGCGAAAGCGUGGGGAGCAAACAGGAUUAGAUACCCUGGUAGUCCACGCCGUAAACGAUGAGUGCUAGGUGUUAGGGGUUUCGAUGCCCUUAGUGCCGAAGUUAACACAUUAAGCACUCCGCCUGGGGAGUACGACCGCAAGGUUGAAACUCAAAGGAAUUGACGGGGGCCCGCACAAGCAGUGGAGCAUGUGGUUUAAUUCGAAGCAACGCGAAGAACCUUACCAGGUCUUGACAUCCUUUGACCACCCUAGAGAUAGGGCUUUCCCCUUCGGGGGACAAAGUGACAGGUGGUGCAUGGUUGUCGUCAGCUCGUGUCGUGAGAUGUUGGGUUAAGUCCCGCAACGAGCGCAACCCUUGAUCUUAGUUGCCAGCAUUCAGUUGGGCACUCUAAGGUGACUGCCGGUGAUAAACCGGAGGAAGGUGGGGAUGACGUCAAAUCAUCAUGCCCCUUAUGACCUGGGCUACACACGUGCUACAUGGAUGGUACAAAGGGCUGCGAAACCGCGAGAUGAGCGAUCCCAUAAAGCAUUCUCAGUCGAUUGUAGCUGCACUCGCUACAUGAGGCGAUGCUAGUAUCGCGAUCAGCAUGCCGCGGUGAAUACGUUCCGGCCUUGUACUCACCGCCCGGUCAAGGCG